CUUGCAUACAGACUGCUGCCACGCUGGCUGGCUAGGUCGCUCUUCUUAUGUCUUCUUCCAGUGUUCAGAGAGGAAUUGGAGUUUCUCCCCCCCAUGUGCAUGUGUUUCAUAACUUGGUGUGAAGAAGCAUGGAAAGAGAAAGAAUUUUUUACAUAAACUCAUAUUAAAGUCAACCCUGUUCAGUGAUGGAUAUUUUGUCAGAGAGGGCAGGAGACAGAUACCUUUGCACAGGAUGCUUGUAAAUGUUCUUGGAACUUACUGUGAUGCUUUGACAUAUAAAUCGGCUGAGAAAGAAAUCAAAGAAUCAUCCCCCUUUACAAUAGCCACAAACAACAUAAAACAUCUUAGGGUAACUCUAACCAAACAGGUGAAAGACCUG
Cricetulus griseus (Chinese hamster) is the source of this 379-nucleotide non-coding RNA. NCBI's taxonomy places the organism in Eukaryota, Metazoa, Chordata, Mammalia, Rodentia, Cricetidae. The record is from RefSeq and is a predicted model, not a curated record.